This 768-nucleotide ribosomal RNA is filed under the name uncultured Sphingobacteriia bacterium. Its description in RNAcentral is "bacterial SSU rRNA". It matches the Rfam family "Bacterial small subunit ribosomal RNA", at positions 560 to 1330 of the family's 1533-position model. The record is from RNAcentral. Lineage: Bacteria; Pseudomonadati; Bacteroidota; Sphingobacteriia.
UUAAAGGGUGCGUAGGCGGGCAGGUAAGUCAGUGGUGAAAUCCUGGAGCUUAACUCCAGAACUGCCAUUGAUACUAUCUGUCUUGAAUAUUGUGGAGGUAAGCGGAAUAUGUCAUGUAGCGGUGAAAUGCUUAGAUAUGACAUAGAACACCUAUUGCGAAGGCAGCUUACUACGCAUAUAUUGACGCUGAGGCACGAAAGCGUGGGGAUCAAACAGGAUUAGAUACCCUGGUAGUCCACGCCCUAAACGAUGGAUACUCGACAUACGCGAUACACUGUGUGUGUCUGAGCGAAAGCAUUAAGUAUCCCACCUGGGAAGUACGACCGCAAGGUUGAAACUCAAAGGAAUUGACGGGGGCCCGCACAAGCGGUGGAGCAUGUGGUUUAAUUCGACGCAACGCGAAGAACCUUACCUGGGCUCGAACGGCUUCUCAACGGUCUGUGAAAGCGGGCUAUCCCGCAAGGGAGUGGAGUCGAGGUGCUGCAUGGCUGUCGUCAGCUCGUGUCGUGAGAUGUUGGGUUAAGUCCCGCAACGAGCGCAACCCUUGUCCCGUGUUGCUAAUCCGUAAGGAUGCACUCUCGGGAGACCGCCAGCGAUAAGUUGGAGGAAGGUGGGGAUGACGUCAAGUCAUCAUGGCCUUUAUGUCCAGGGCUACACACGUGCUACAAUGGGCGGUACAAAGCGCUGCGAAACUGCGAAGUGAAGCCAAUCGCACAAAACCGUCCUCAGUUCGGAUUGCAGGCUGCAACUCGCCUGCAUGAAGCUGGA